RNAcentral lists this non-coding RNA (534 nucleotides) under Cucumis melo (muskmelon). RNAcentral describes it as "Bacterial small subunit ribosomal RNA". It matches the Rfam family "Bacterial small subunit ribosomal RNA", at positions 9 to 471 of the family's 1533-position model. The record is from Rfam by way of RNAcentral. Lineage: Eukaryota; Viridiplantae; Streptophyta; Magnoliopsida; Cucurbitales; Cucurbitaceae.
GAAUUUGAUCCUGGCUCAGAAGGAAGGCUAGCUAUAUGCUUAACACAUGUAAGUUGAACCUUGUUUUUGAAGAGCUAGGCAGAAGGAAAACAGGCUCAACGCGUCAAGUAGCUUGCCUUGCCUUUCAAGGUAGAAAGAAUUGAGAAGAAAGUAACGAACGGGUACAUAAGGCAUGGGAAUCUCCCGAAGAGUUUGAGCCAAAUCCUAAAGAAGGCUAAAAAGCGUUGUUCGAUGAGUCUACGUAGUAUUAGGUCAUUAGUCACGUAAAGGCUGACCAAGCCAAUAAUGCUUAGAUGGUCUUUUUGGAUGAUCAGCCACACUGGGACUGAGACACGGCCCGUACUCCCACGGAGGGCUGCAGUGGGGAAUCUUGGACAAUGGGCAAAAGCUCAAUUUAACAAGCAUGAGUGAAGAAAGUAGAGGGGAGUUGGUAAAUUAAAUACAAUAUUUAUUUUGAUGUUCAAGCUUAGGAUUUUAUCCAUUUUUCCAGCAAUUCUCGUUUCUUUUAUGAGAGUAAAAGGCAAAGACUUCAUC